Molecule: ribosomal RNA, 301 nt
Filed under: uncultured bacterium
Lineage: Bacteria
Description: partial 16S ribosomal RNA
Rfam family: Bacterial small subunit ribosomal RNA
Source: RNAcentral
CAGCAGCCGCGGUAAUACGUAGGUGGCAAGCGUUGUUCGGAUUUACUGGGCGUAAAGGGCGCGUAGGCGGACUGAUAAGUCAGGGGUGAAAUCCCAAGGCUCAACCUUGGAACUGCCUUUGAUACUGUUUGUCUUGAGUUCGAGAGAGGUAAGUGGAACUGCGAGUGUAGAGGUGAAAUUCGUAGAUAUUCGCAAGAACACCAGUGGUGAAGGCGGCUUACUGGCUCGAAACUGACGCUGAGGCGCGAAAGCGUGGGGAGCAAACAGGAUUAGAUACCCCAGUAGUCCCUGUCUCUUAUAC